GACGAACGCUGGCGGCGUGCUUAACACAUGCAAGUCGAACGGAAAGGCCCUGCUUUUGUUGGUUUCUCGAUUGCCGAACGGGUGUGUAACACGUGUGUAUCCUGCCCUUAUCUUUGUGAUAACUUCUCGAAACUGCGGCUCUUACCGCAUAUGAUCUCCUGCUGCAUGUUGGUGGUUGGAAAAUUUCGGCUUUUCGGGCUGGACUCGCUGCUUCUCCGCUUGCUGGUGGGGUAGUGGCUUACCAAGGCUUUGACGGGUACCCGGCCUGAGAGGGUUAACGGCGACAAGGGGACUGAGAGAGGGACCAGAAGGGUACGGGAGGCAGCAGUGGAGAAUAUUGCAGAAUGAGCGGACGCGAGAGACAGAAAUGCUGCGAGCGGGAUGACGGGUUACGGGUUGAAAACAGCUGUCGAAGGUAACGAAGAGUGAGUGACGGUAAUGGGUAAAGAAGCAACGGCUAACUACGUG
Molecule: ribosomal RNA, 468 nt
Filed under: uncultured bacterium
Lineage: Bacteria
Description: partial 16S ribosomal RNA
Rfam family: Bacterial small subunit ribosomal RNA
Source: RNAcentral